AACGAACGCUGGCGGCAGGCCUAACACAUGCAAGUCGAACGCCCUAGCAAUAGGGAGUGGCAGACGGGUGAGUAACACGUGGGAACGUGCCCUUCGGUUCGGAAUAACUCAGGGAAACUUGAGCUAAUACCGGAUAAGUGCGAGAGCAGAAAGAUUUAUAGCCGAAGGAUCGGCCCGCGUCCGAUUAGCUAGUUGGUGAGGUAAUGGCUCACAAAGGCGACGAUCGGUAGCUGGUCUGAGAGGAUGACCAGCCACACUGGGACUGAGACACGGCCCAGACUCCUACGGGAGGCAGCAGUGGGGAAUAUUGGACAAUGGGCGCAAGCCUGAUCCAGCCAUGCCGCGUGAGUGAUGAAGGCCCUAGGGUUGUAAAGCUCUUUCGCCAGGGACGAUAAUGACGGUACCUGGAUAAGAAGCCCCGGCUAACUUCGUGCCAGCCGCCGCGGUAA
RNAcentral lists this ribosomal RNA (449 nucleotides) under uncultured bacterium. Its description in RNAcentral is "partial 16S ribosomal RNA". It matches the Rfam family "Bacterial small subunit ribosomal RNA", at positions 29 to 523 of the family's 1533-position model. The record is from RNAcentral.